GUAACGCAAUGCAUUGUGGGUCUUUGUUUUGAUUUUGAAGGAGCUCCUCUCGAGUUAUUUUAGUUGGAAAAACAUUUUUUUCUGAAAUUAUGGAACCGACGUUGAAUUGUGGCAAUUAUCUACCCAUGAGUCUGUGGCAAUGUCAGCUGGGGAUGCGUGAAGGUGUUGAAUAAACUGGUACAGCAGCCUCGUGUAUUACUUCCCUUGAGGACUGAUUCUACACCCCAAGACACUUGAUGAUACAAUUCAACACCUUGCAUUUCAAGAUGGAGGAGCUAAUCAAGGUUGAAUAAACUGGUACAGCAGCCUCGUAUAUCACUUCCCAUGAGGACUGAUUCUACACCCCAAGACACUUGAUGAUACAAUUCAACACGUUACAUUUCAAGAUGGAGGAGCUAAUCAAG
Molecule: non-coding RNA, 404 nt
Organism: Penaeus vannamei (Pacific white shrimp)
Lineage: Eukaryota; Metazoa; Arthropoda; Malacostraca; Decapoda; Penaeidae
Source: RefSeq, a predicted model, not a curated record